CCUACGGGAGGCAGCAGUGGGGAAUUUUGGACAAUGGGCGCAAGCCUGAUCCAGCAAUGCCGCGUGAGUGAAGAAGGCCUUCGGGUUGUAAAGCUCUUUUGUCAGGGAAGAAACGGUGAGGGCUAAUAUCCUUUGCUAAUGACGGUACCUGAAGAAUAAGCACCGGCUAACUACGUGCCAGCAGCCGCGGUAAUACGUAGGGUGCAAGCGUUAAUCGGAAUUACUGGGCGUAAAGCGUGCGCAGGCGGUUUUGUAAGUCUGUCGUGAAAUCCCCGGGCUCAACCUGGGAAUUGCGAUGGAGACUGCAAGGCUAGAAUCUGGCAGAGGGGGGUAGAAUUCCACGUGUAGCAGUGAAAUGCGUAGAGAUGUGGAGGAACACCGAUGGCGAAGGCAGCCCCCUGGGUCAAGAUUGACGCUCAUGCACGAAAGCGUGGGGAGCAAACAGGAUUAGAUACCCUGGUAGUCCACGCCCUAAACGAUGUCUACUAGUUGUCGGGUUUUAAUUAACUUGGUAACGCAGCUAACGCGUGAAGUAGACCGCCUGGGGAGUACGGUCGCAAGAUUAAAAACCUCAAAAGUAGUAAGUAGGACCGUGAGAACGUACGCCGAACCGGAAGGACCAACCGAACGGGAAGGGUUAAGGAGGG
RNAcentral lists this ribosomal RNA (647 nucleotides) under uncultured bacterium. Its description in RNAcentral is "bacterial SSU rRNA". It matches the Rfam family "Bacterial small subunit ribosomal RNA", at positions 338 to 1533 of the family's 1533-position model. The record is from RNAcentral.